AUUGAACGCUGGCGGCAGGCCUAACACAUGCAAGUCGAGCGGAUGAAGGGAGCUUGCUCCUGGAUUCAGCGGCGGACGGGUGAGUAAUGCCUAGGAAUCUGCCUGGUAGUGGGGGAUAACGUCCGGAAACGGGCGCUAAUACCGCAUACUUCCUGAGGGAGCAAGUGGGUGAUCUUCGGACCUCACGCUAUCAGAUGAGCCUAGGUCGGAUUAGCUAGUUGGUGGGGUAAAGGCCUACCAAGGCGACGAUCCGUAACUGGUCUGAGAGGAUGAUCAGUCACACUGGAACUGAGACACGGUCCAGACUCCUAAGGGAGGCAGCAGUGGGGAAUAUUGGACAAUGGGCGAAAGCCUGAUACAGCCAUGCCGCGUGUGUGAAGAAGGUCUUCGGAUUGUAAAGCACUUUAAGUUGGGAGGAAGGGCAGUAAGUUAAUACCUUGCUGUUUUGACGUUACCAACAGAAUAAGCACCGGCUAACUUCGUG
Molecule: ribosomal RNA, 484 nt
Filed under: uncultured bacterium
Lineage: Bacteria
Description: partial 16S ribosomal RNA
Rfam family: Bacterial small subunit ribosomal RNA
Source: RNAcentral